CAAUAGCGUAUAUUUAAGUUGCUGCAGUAAAAAAGCUCGUAGUUGGGUUUCGGGUGGGAAUGGCCGGUCCGCCGUUUCGGUGUGCACUUGCUACGCCCACCUUGCUGCCGGGGACGUGCUCUUGAGUUCACGCUCGGGACACGGAGUCGGCGAGGUUACUUUGAGUAAAUUAGAGUGUUCAAAGCAGGCCUACGCUCUGAAUACAUUAGCAUGGAAUAACACGAUAGGACUCUGGCCUAUCUUGUUGGUCUGUAGGACCGGAGUAAUGAUUAAGAGGGACAGUCGGGGGCAUUCGUAUUUCAUUGUCAGAGGUGAAAUUCUUGGAUUUAUGAAAGACGAACUACUGCGAAAGCAUUUGCCAAGGAUGUUUUCAUUAA
This 377-nucleotide ribosomal RNA is filed under the name uncultured eukaryote. RNAcentral's name for it is "partial 18S ribosomal RNA". It matches the Rfam family "Eukaryotic small subunit ribosomal RNA", at positions 592 to 976 of the family's 1831-position model. The record is from RNAcentral.